RNAcentral lists this ribosomal RNA (256 nucleotides) under uncultured bacterium. RNAcentral's name for it is "partial 16S ribosomal RNA". It matches the Rfam family "Bacterial small subunit ribosomal RNA", at positions 96 to 353 of the family's 1533-position model. The record is from RNAcentral.
UGGCGGACGGGUGAGUAAUGUCUGGGAAACUGCCUGAUGGAGGGGGAUAACUACUGGAAACGGUAGCUAAUACCGCAUAACGUCGCAAGACCAAANAGGGGGACCUUCGGGCCUCUUGCCAUCGGAUGUGCCCAGAUGGGAUUAGCUAGUAGGUGGGGUAAAGGCUCACCUAGGCGACGAUCCCUAGCUGGUCUGAGAGGAUGACCAGCCACACUGGAACUGAGACACGGUCCAGACUCCUACGGGAGGCAGCAUG